CACAACCCCAAAAGCCGCCCCUCCCCGGACUUCUACACGUCUCUGUGAGUGGGUGAGAGCGCACCACCGAGGGGGCUGCCGCAGCGUUUCGUUGUCCAUCGGGACACACCCGCACACACAUAGACUUGUAAGCGGUGAAACACACACGCACGCUACUCCAUACAUAGAUUCACCGAAGGCGCCGUGUGCUGUGUUGCACUGCACCGCUCUCUGCGUCAUGCCCGUCGCAGCGGAUGCGUCUGUGUCGGACUCCAUCGCCUACUUGCAGGACUUCGUCAAUCAGUCCGGCCGCCCCACACGCAAGGCGCUGCCACAGGACGCAGUGGACGCUAUCCGUCCAGCUUUACGCGGCCCGUCUACUGCGGAGCGCGGUUCUCCACCGAACAUAUCCAUGCUGAACAACCGAGGCAAUAAUGCACCGCUGCUCGGCGCCCGCGGAAGCUUUCGACGAGACAGCGUAGGCGAGGACAGACACACAAACCUUGGCGCAGGGGAUACGUACUCUUCAAUCCGCCACCUUGGCAACAGUAAACCUUCACACAGCGCGAGCGACUCGCGAAACGACGGCAUUCUGAACGGCACGCCGCUUCUCCAGCGCCCGCGGGCUUCAGCGACGUUGGCCAGCGUCGGCCACUCGCCAUACAUCCGCGAAGCCGCUUCUGCGAGUGGCAACAGAGCCGAUCCGAGUUACCUGCCUUCUUUUAUCAACGACAGCAACGCCUCGAGAGGCGCUGCGUCGGCUGCUCCUGCGGCAACCUCAUCCGGCACAAUGUUCCGCUACGGGAAGGACUCUGCCGCGCCGCCCUCCUUAUCCACCCGCCGAAAGUCGUACACGUACACCGGCGGAGCGGUGGGCGGCGGGUGGGCAGCGUCGGCGCCGCCGUCCGUGCCAAGGUGGGAGUGGUCCCGCGCCUCAUCUUUUUCGUCCACGCCGCCGUACGGUCGCGUGUCUACCGCGGCGACAACGACGACGCCAGCCUCCCGUGGGUGGCGGCACUCGUCCGCACCGCCACCACCCGUCUCUCGUCGCGGGCCCUCGCCGUCGUCGCUACUGUGGGGGUGGGGAGACAGCAGCGGUGAGGAAACCCAUCGUGGCGCUGCCACAGCCUCCACAGAUGCCGCGACAGCAGCAUCGCCGUCACCGUAUGAGCCGCGCGGGCGGAGAGACAAGCAUGUGUGGGAGGAGGGCUCUGUACGAGACUCUUACGUGAACAGCGCCUAUGCGUCGCGUCCAGUGUCGUCAGUACUGUCGGCGUCCCAUUCUCCUCCCGCGGCCCCCGCCGCGCGCCGCGACUCCGCCUACGAAGAGGUGAGGGAGGAUCAGAGCUCGCAGUCGUGGCGCCAGCCGCUGCGACGCCCACCCCUGGCACCGUCGCCUCCAUGCGCCACCUCGACAACAACGCCGCCGACCGUUUCUGCUGACCGUGUCCUGCACCAUGUCGAGCCAGUUGAAUUCGUCAGCUGCCACAACGCCGACGAGCACGCAGCUAAUGUCCGCCGCAUCGCACACUACCUCAAGAACUACUACGCCAGGGAGGCGGGAGAAAUGGAGCGCGGUGUAGAGUCGUUGAGUGCCGAGGACGUGGCCGGGCUGGCGCAGUGCUUUUACAUCGACCUCUACCGUACGGUGCGGCAGGCGCGGCGGGAGGCAGGGAUGGAGACGUCGUCCUUCCUGGUCGAAGACCCGACGGAGAACGUCAUUGCGAGCGUCGCACCAGUGCCACCGCCGCCGCCGCAGCGGGAGCGACACGACAGUUACACACCGCCGCCGCAGCGCCCCACCACGUCCGACGCUCGAAAUCGGCUAGUGAACAGCAGCGCGACCUCAGACACGGAACCGACCUACCGCGCACCGAAUGCCCAGCUCGCCUUCAGCGGCGGCGGCACGCACCCAGUCCAGAUCAUCACGGCUCGGCUGCCAGCCUUUCGCAACGACGACAUCACCACCGCGGGCGACGGGACCUCCGCGCUGAGCCAUCUUAGGCCAUCAGUUGCGUCGUCUGUGUCACCUGCCGCUUCUAGCACGGCAUCUGCAUCGCGCGCUCACGAGGAAGCUCGCGCUCGUGUCAGCCCUGCGGGCCCGGCCGCCGUUGGUUCUAGUGCGCUGCCGUACGACUUGGACAACGAAAACGCCGAGGCCGUCUCCUCCUUGGCGCAGGCGGCCACGCCAUCGCCGCCAUAUCGACAUCUGCACCGCGCUGUCGACACCGCAGGAGCAGCGCCGCCGUGUGCAACGGUGCAGCACCACCAGUCGUCGUCUUUUCAACCGCAUAUGGUCUUUGGGGUAUCACAGCACCAUCCUUUUUCGGCGCCGAACGGAUUUGCUGCGGCACCGGCGGAGCCUUCGUCGUCGCCUCGGCUCAAUCACCGCCAAGGUGACACGAACAGUCGUGGACAACACAACCGCCAUGGGCGGCAAGAUGCAUCCCUGCACACUCGCGGGCGUCAUGUGCACAUGCGAGACGGGUACGUGGACAGCAGCAGCAGCAGCAGCUCGGGCGAAGGCGGUGACCACGGUAGCGAGACGGGCAGAUGCGACGGACGCAGAGACACUGGCGGCGGUGCAGGCCGAGCGAAGCUCGCGGCAUCUCAGCCAUCAAGCGGCAUUGUCAAGCGACCUCUCAAAGAUCUCAUGCCGCUCUUGCGCUCUCGCGGCACUCUCGCUGUCAAGUACAUUCACAACAGUCGCCGACCGCACCUACGCCUCUUCCAAAUUCUCGACUGCAUGGACACAUACUGUGGCAGCGAGGUCCUCAUGCCGCACUUCACGUGGGCGACGCCGGCGGACGCGCACCGACACGAUCGGCUGCCGCGCGCGAAGCGGUCGAAGCACGGGGCGCCGCUGCCGACGGGGCUCUCCCUUUCCCAGCAGGAGGUGCCGUACGAAACGGCGCUGAACCUCGUUCACCUGGAGGCCGUCUACGUUGGCGCUGGACACGGCAUCGCGGAGGCGCACAUGACGCUGUUCCGUCGUGCCAAGUGCGGUGCCAACAGUCGCGGCAGCGAUUCCCGUGUCGACGGCGGUGCAGUGGUGGUCGAUCACGGAGGCCGUCCGGUGGCAAACGACAUGUGCGCCGUCUUCGUCUUCGCAUCCCGACCGGUGGCGGUGUCCUUUUUACGCGAGGACGACCGGCAGGCGUGGGUGGGUGCCAUGAUGGGUGUGGUGGAGCGCAACCGCACCUUGACAGCGUGACAGGAAGGCCAGCAUGAAGAGCGGAAUGAGGAGUGCUGUGGAACAAGUCCCUGUGAGAUGGACGGCUCUGCCACACGGGGGAUGCGUGCGCGUGAGCCGUUACGGUGCGGCGUGUCCCUGCUUUUCCCGUAGAUGUGUACUGUGCUGCUUUGGUGGUGACUUCUACUCCUCUCUUUCCUUUUUAUGCAUGUGCAUGUGCGUGCUCGCAGAUUCGGUUCUUCCUCUGUGUUCCUGUUUUGCUCAUUUCUAGCGUUCUUCUGUUUUGUGUCUUCGCCGAGCAGAUAUGUGUGCGCACACACACUCAAGAGUAUACACGAAUUGCGUGCAGGUCCUUCCUGCUUGCCAUGCGUGGAUCGCUCCCUCUUUUUUUUUCGCUACCUGUAUUACCUGUUGUGCAUUGCUGGAUCUGAAAAAUCGAUGUGCUUGCUGUGUACGCCUCAGAUAUAC
This 3640-nucleotide unclassified non-coding RNA is filed under the name Leishmania donovani. RNAcentral's name for it is "gene:LdHU3.07.0730(CDS-product:hypothetical_prote in_conserved)". Lineage: Eukaryota; Euglenozoa; Kinetoplastea; Trypanosomatida; Trypanosomatidae. The record is from RNAcentral.